This 774-nucleotide ribosomal RNA is filed under the name uncultured Neocallimastigales. RNAcentral describes it as "partial large subunit ribosomal RNA". It matches the Rfam family "Eukaryotic large subunit ribosomal RNA", at positions 24 to 643 of the family's 3401-position model. The record is from RNAcentral. Lineage: Eukaryota; Fungi; Neocallimastigomycota; Neocallimastigomycetes; Neocallimastigales.
CAUCACUACGCUAGAUGCAUAUCAAUAAGCGGAGGAAAAGAAACUAACAAGGAUUCCCUUAGUAACGGCGAGUGAAGCGGGAAGAGCUCAAAUUUGAAAUCUUCAAGGUUCUACCUUGACGAAUUGUAGUUUAUAGAAGUGUUUUCUGUUAGUAGAGUGGCAAAAGUUCUUUGGAAUAGGACAUCAUAGAGGGUGAGAAUCCCGUAUUUGGUCAUUCCUCCUAGCGUUGUGAUACACUUUCAACGAGUCGGAUUGUUUGGGAAUGCAGUCCAAAAUGGGUGGUAAAUUUCAUCUAAAGCUAAAUAUUGGCGAGAGACCGAUAGCGAACAAGUACCGUGAGGGAAAGAUGAAAAGAACUUUGAAAAGAGAGUUAAACAGUACGUGGAAUUGUCAAAAGGGAAGCGUUUGACACCAGUGUUGUUUAGUUGAAAAUCAAUUCAAUAGUUUUUGAUUCUAAGUAGUAUUGACUUCAUCAGCUUGCUGCUUUCUUCUCAGAAAUUAUUGAAUGCACUUUUCAGUUAACAAGUCAACAUCAAUUUCUUUUGUUGUAAAAGGGUAAGAGGAAGGUGGCUUGCGCUUCGGCUCAAGUGUUUAUAGCCUUUUAUCUCUGCAAUCGGAGAGAUUGAGGUCUGCAGCGCAGAUCCUUCGGGGUUAGAUACAUUGGUGCUAAGCUAUAGCCUUGCAUAGACAACUUGUUGACUAUGCUCAGUCAUGUAGCUUACUCGCUGAUGCUAUUUUACCUACGCUUAGGAUGUUGACACACGCGCGUGCUCG